RNAcentral lists this ribosomal RNA (253 nucleotides) under uncultured bacterium. RNAcentral describes it as "partial 16S ribosomal RNA". It matches the Rfam family "Bacterial small subunit ribosomal RNA", at positions 524 to 776 of the family's 1533-position model. The record is from RNAcentral.
UACGUAGGGGGCAAGCGUUGUCCGGAAUCCUUGGGCGUAAAGAGCGUGUAGGCGGCCCGAUAAGUCCGCUGUGAAAGUCCAGGGCUCAACCCUGGAAUGCCAGUGGAAACUGUCGGGCUAGAGUCCGGAAGAGGCGAGUGGAAUUCCCGGUGUAGCGGUGAAAUGCGCAGAUAUCGGGAGGAACACCUAUGGCGAAGGCAGCUCGCUGGAACGGUACUGACGCUGAGGCGCGAAAGCGUGGGGAGCAAACAGG